This 72-nucleotide transfer RNA is filed under the name Phialocephala subalpina. It matches the Rfam family "tRNA". Rfam says of the family: Transfer RNA (tRNA) molecules are approximately 80 nucleotides in length. Their secondary structure includes four short double-helical elements and three loops (D, anti-codon, and T loops). The record is from Rfam by way of RNAcentral. Lineage: Eukaryota; Fungi; Ascomycota; Leotiomycetes; Helotiales; Mollisiaceae.
GACCACUUAGUGCAGUGGUAGCAUAGUCGGUGCAAAAACCCCUAGACCUAGGUUCGAUUCCUAGAGAGGUUG